UACAGAGGAUGCAAGCGUUAUCCGGAAUUAUUGGGCGUAAAGCGUCUGUAGGUGGCUUUUUAAGUCCGCCGUCAAAUCCCAGGGCUCAACUCUGGACAGGCGGUGGAAACUACCAAGCUGGAGUACGGUAGGGGCAGAGGGAAUUUCCGGUGGAGCGGUGAAAUGCGCAGAUAUCAGGAAGAACACCCGUGGCGAAGGCGGCUCUCUGGGACGGUACUGACGCUGAGACGCGAAAGCGUGGGGAGCGAACAGG
Molecule: ribosomal RNA, 253 nt
Filed under: uncultured bacterium
Lineage: Bacteria
Description: partial 16S ribosomal RNA
Rfam family: Bacterial small subunit ribosomal RNA
Source: RNAcentral